AUUGUGCAUUGGCCAGCAAGAUUCAGAACACUGCAUUCAUGAGUUUCAAGAAAUUUUUAUCUGGUAUUGACAUUAUUAGUCAAGUCAAAACACCUGUUGCCAUAGGGCUUGAACAUGAAAUUAUCAACCAGCAUAUGAUAAGUGGAUUGCGUAGCCACUUUAUGAUUAAACCCCAAGCUCAGGUACUCUGAUAAUUCAUACUUCCAACCAGUGCCAACACUAACUGAUUUGUUGGUUUAAAAUGGAGAUUCAUAUUUUUAUUGGUUCAGCUAAACAAUAAGGUUUGACUCCAAAACAUUUCAGCAGCUUCGAUUUACUUUAUGGGGAGAAGACAGGAGUAUGACUGGAAGGAUGGUCAUAAUGUGUUACCAGUUACAGUAAAACCGCAUAAGAGCUGCAUUAUGAACUUCCUUCACAUGUACAUUCAAAGAGUAUGAGAAUUUGGCAGAUUUAGCAAACAGAUAAUUACAAUACUAAAAAUAGUCCUACACCCCCGGCCCUUAUUUCCAAAGGGUAAAGGUAUGAAUAUGUAUUAAGGAUCUUGGAAUGCAUCCUCUUUUCAGUUUUACAGUACUUUUACAUCCCUAUCUCUUUUUAAUCCUGAUUUUGUAUUCUGGUGGUGUAGCAAUUACAUAAUACUUUCUCCAACUGCUCUUAGCAGAUAGUUUGUCAUUUGUAAAGGUCCUGGAACUUUCCCUGAACUCUUAAAACAUCUCACACUUAAUUGGUCUCUCUUCCUUCCAUUCUUCAAUUCGUAAUCAUUCUCAAUUCAGUAGACUUAACUUACCCUCAUUGUUCCAUUAUUUUUGUCUUUUCAAACUAAGUUUGUAGGUUUUCACAUUGUGUUAUAGUAUUGGCCCCCUUCAUGCAAUUUCAUAUUUUUCUUAAUUUACUUUGCCCUUCCAAGCAUUUUUUGUAAUUAGUACCUCUCCUGUUAAAUCCGACUUCAUUACUCCUAAAUGCAGGGCUUUGUUCUUGCCACGUUUUUCAUCAAAUGUUGUUCAUACAUGUUGAUAUAAAAAAGUAGUAAACUGAUGAAUUUGGUUUCCAGUUUAAGAAGGAGAGGCUUAGGGAAAUGUGAGAUACGCAAAAUAUUUUGUCCUUACAACUUUUAUCCAUUCUUUAUUGAUCUUCUUGUAGUAUAUCUGUCCACCAUUGUAAACAUAAAAUCUGACAUUAC
Long non-coding RNA from Macrobrachium nipponense, 1180 nucleotides. RefSeq lists it as uncharacterized. The transcript is spliced from 3 exons. Lineage: Eukaryota; Metazoa; Arthropoda; Malacostraca; Decapoda; Palaemonidae. The record is from RefSeq and is a predicted model, not a curated record.